This is a long non-coding RNA of Penaeus monodon (black tiger shrimp), 653 nucleotides long. RefSeq lists it as uncharacterized. The record is from RefSeq and is a predicted model, not a curated record. NCBI's taxonomy places the organism in Eukaryota, Metazoa, Arthropoda, Malacostraca, Decapoda, Penaeidae. The transcript is spliced from 2 exons.
ACAUAAUGCUCAUAAAAAGAACAUGAAGAAUGUUUGUUCUCUUACAGUCGUGAUCAGGUUUUUGAACUUCAGUUUUAUAGAAUGGUCCAGAUAGAAUCGAGCCUACUGUCUCUACGCAAGUUAGUGUCAGAGACAAGGAAACGCACCACAAGUCCACAGACUUCGGCCACAAACCUCGACCUGGGCACCUGCGAGAAGCUUUGAUUGUUGUUGUUUCCCUCUUCCUAUCCCCCCUCCCCUUCUCUAUGAAAAAAAGAGAAAUAAAAAGAGAAAGAUAGAUAGAAGAAAGGUGUCACCUUCACACAUAUCUCGAGUUUACAUGAUGAUCCAGGAUUGAGUAAAAUAGGAGUCUGGUAGAAGAUGAGACAAUAUGAACAAGGAUUUUAUUGUCUGCUUUGGGAAUUCAGAAAGAGAAACUCAGUUGUUUACCUAUUUCUUAAGGGAACUAUAUUUUCAGUGAAUUACAAUUUUUAAAGGCUUUGUUGAGUUCUGUAAUUUGGAUAUCUCUCCAACAUUGGUCUAUUUUAUUAAUGUAUUUUUGGUCACCUUUAAAUGAAUGUAGAUCAUAAUUUCAUGGAAACAUAGAGCAAUCCUCACUUACAUCAUGGCAUGUAAAGGCCAAUGAUUUAAAGGGAAAUUCUUCUCAUGUAGUA